Molecule: ribosomal RNA, 1407 nt
Filed under: Lactococcus lactis subsp. lactis
Lineage: Bacteria; Bacillati; Bacillota; Bacilli; Lactobacillales; Streptococcaceae
Description: bacterial SSU rRNA
Rfam family: Bacterial small subunit ribosomal RNA
Source: RNAcentral
CAGUCGAACGACUCUGGUAUUGAUUGGUGCUUGCAUCAUGAUUUACAUUUGAGUGAGUGGCGAACUGGUGAGUAACACGUGGGAAACCUGCCCAGAAGCGGGGGAUAACACCUGGAAACAGAUGCUAAUACCGCAUAACAACUUGGACCGCAUGGUCCGAGUUUGAAAGAUGGCUUCGGCUAUCACUUUUGGAUGGUCCCGCGGCGUAUUAGCUAGAUGGUGAGGUAACGGCUCACCAUGGCAAUGAUACGUAGCCGACCUGAGAGGGUAAUCGGCCACAUUGGGACUGAGACACGGCCCAAACUCCUACGGGAGGCAGCAGUAGGGAAUCUUCCACAAUGGACGAAAGUCUGAUGGAGCAACGCCGCGUGAGUGAAGAAGGGUUUCGGCUCGUAAAACUCUGUUGUUAAAGAAGAACAUAUCUGAGAGUAACUGUUCAGGUAUUGACGGUAUUUAACCAGAAAGCCACGGCUAACUACGUGCCAGCAGCCGCGGUAAUACGUAGGUGGCAAGCGUUGUCCGGAUUUAUUGGGCGUAAAGCGAGCGCAGGCGGUUUUUUAAGUCUGAUGUGAAAGCCUUCGGCUCAACCGAAGAAGUGCAUCGGAAACUGGGAAACUUGAGUGCAGAAGAGGACAGUGGAACUCCAUGUGUAGCGGUGAAAUGCGUAGAUAUAUGGAAGAACACCAGUGGCGAAGGCGGCUGUCUGGUCUGUAACUGACGCUGAGGCUCGAAAGUAUGGGUAGCAAACAGGAUUAGAUACCCUGGUAGUCCAUACCGUAAACGAUGAAUGCUAAGUGUUGGAGGGUUUCCGCCCUUCAGUGCUGCAGCUAACGCAUUAAGCAUUCCGCCUGGGGAGUACGGCCGCAAGGCUGAAACUCAAAGGAAUUGACGGGGGCCCGCACAAGCGGUGGAGCAUGUGGUUUAAUUCGAAGCUACGCGAAGAACCUUACCAGGUCUUGACAUACUAUGCAAAUCUAAGAGAUUAGACGUUCCCUUUGGGGACAUGGAUACAGGUGGUGCAUGGUUGUCGUCAGCUCGUGUCGUGAGAUGUUGGGUUAAGUCCCGCAACGAGCGCAACCCUUAUUAUCAGUUGCCAGCAUUAAGUUGGGCACUCUGGUGAGACUGCCGGUGACAAACCGGAGGAAGGUGGGGAUGACGUCAAAUCAUCAUGCCCCUUAUGACCUGGGCUACACACGUGCUACAAUGGAUGGUACAACGAGUUGCGAACUCGCGAGAGUAAGCUAAUCUCUUAAAGCCAUUCUCAGUUCGGAUUGUAGGCUGCAACUCGCCUACAUGAAGUCGGAAUCGCUAGUAAUCGCGGAUCAGCAUGCCGCGGUGAAUACGUUCCCGGGCCUUGUACACACCGCCCGUCACACCAUGAGAGUUUGUAACACCCAAAGUCGGUGG